GAUGAACGCUGACAGAAUGCUUAACACAUGCAAGUCAACUUGAACUUCGGUUUGGGUGGCGGACGGGUGAGUAACGCGUAAAGAACUUUCCUCACAGAUAGGCAUAACAUUUGGAAACGAAUGCUAAUACCUGAUAUUAUGAUUAUAUGGCAUCGUAUAAUUAUGACGGCUAUAGGCGCUGUGAGAGAGCUUUGCGUACCAUUAGCUAUUUGGAGAGGUAACGGCUCACCAAGGCGAUGAUGGGUAGCCGACCUGGGAGGGUGAUCCGCCACAAGAGGACUGCGACACGACCCUUACGCCUACGGGAGGCAGGAGUGGAGAAUAGUGGACGAAAGACCAAGAGACUGAUCCAGCAAUUCUGUGUGCACGAUGAAGUUUUUCGGAAUGUAAAGUGCUUUAAGUUGGGAAGAAAAAAAUGACGGUACCAACAGAAAAAGUGACGGCUAAAUACGUG
RNAcentral lists this ribosomal RNA (454 nucleotides) under uncultured bacterium. Its description in RNAcentral is "partial 16S ribosomal RNA". It matches the Rfam family "Bacterial small subunit ribosomal RNA", at positions 28 to 507 of the family's 1533-position model. The record is from RNAcentral.